CUCCUUUUCCGGUUCAUAAGCAUGAUUACUCGGUGUUCACACAUUUGUGUGACAUGUGCUUCCCUUAAGUCUUGUAAUACACUGGCACAUUACCCAUCUGACA
This is a small nucleolar RNA of Sorex fumeus (smoky shrew), 103 nucleotides long. RefSeq annotates it as small nucleolar RNA U13. The record is from RefSeq and is a predicted model, not a curated record. The transcript has a single exon. NCBI's taxonomy places the organism in Eukaryota, Metazoa, Chordata, Mammalia, Eulipotyphla, Soricidae.